Molecule: small RNA, 35 nt
Filed under: Propionibacterium ruminifibrarum
Lineage: Bacteria; Bacillati; Actinomycetota; Actinomycetes; Propionibacteriales; Propionibacteriaceae
Description: Propionibacterium sp. JV5 CRISPR_Spacer
Source: RNAcentral
GCGGCAAUGGUGGUGACGGGUUCGGCGUGGGCCGG